GGGGGUAACCCUGGCGAUGAGUGGUGGAUGGGUGAGUAAUACGUAGGAAUUUGUCCAUUUGUGGGGGACAACCCGGGGAAACCCGGGCUAAUACCGCAUACGCUCUAUGGAGGAAAGCGGGGGAUUGUAAGACCUCGCGCUAAUGGAUGAGCCUACGUCGGAUUAGCUAGUUGGUAGGGUAACGGCCUACCAAGGCGACGAUCCGUAGUUGGUUUGAGAGGAUGAUUAGUUAUAUUGGGAUUGAGAUAUGGCCCAGACUCCUACGGGAGGCAGCAGUGGGGAAUAUUGGAUAAUGGGGGUAACCCUGAUCCAGCAAUGCCGCGUGUGUGAAGAAGGCCUGCGGGUUGUAAAGCACUUUCAGUGGGGAAGAAAAAAUUGGAAUUAAUAUUUCCGAUCUUGACGUUACCCAUAGAAGAAGCACCGGCUAACUCCGUGCCAGUAGUUGUGGUAAUACGGAGGGUGCAAGCGUUAAUCGGAAUUACUGGGCGUAAAGCGCACGUAGGUGGCUAAGUUAGUCGAUUGUGAAAGCCCUGGGUUUAAUUUGGGAAUUGCAGUCGAUACUACUUGGCUAGAGUAUGGGAGAGGGCAGUGGAAUUCCCGGUGUAGUGGUGAAAUGUGUAGAUAUCGGGAGGAAUAUUAGUGGUGAAGGUGGCUGCCUGGCCCAAUACUGAUAUUUAGGUGCGACAGCGUGGGGAGUAAACAGGAUUAGAUAUCCUGGUAGUCCACGCCGUAAAUGAUGAGAACUAGAUGUCGGGGGGGAUUAGCCCCUCGGUGUCGUAGCUAAUGUGCUAAGUUCUCCGCCUGGGGAGUACGGCCGCAAGGUUGAAACUCAAAGGAAUUGAUGGGGACCCGUAUGAGCGGUGGAGCAUGUGGUUUAAUUCGAUGCAAUGUGAAGAAUUUUACCUGGUCUUGAUAUCCUCGGAACCCUGCAGAGAUGCGGGGGUGCCUUCGGGAGCCGAGAGACAGGUGCUGCAUGGCUGUCGUCAGUUUGUGUCGUGAGAUGUUGGGUUAAGUCCCGCAACGAGCGCAACCCUUGUCCCUAGUUGUUAUCAUUUAGUUGGGAACUCUAGGGAGACCGCCGGUGAUAAACCGGAGGAAGGUGGGGAUGACGUCAAGUCAUCAUGGCCCUUAUGACCAGGGUUACACACGUGCUACAAUGGCCGGUAUAGAGGGUUGCCAACCCGUGAGGGGGAGCUAAUCCCAGAAAGCCGGUCGUAGUCCGGAUCGGAGUCUGUAAUUUGACUCCGUGAAGUUGGAAUCGCUAGUAAUCGCGAAUUAGUAAUGUCGCGGUGAAUAUGUUUUCGGGUCUUGUAUAUAUUGCUUGUUAUACCAUGGAAGUUGAUUGCACCAGAAGUCGGUAGCUUAACCGUAAGGGGAGCGCCGCUUACGGUGUGGUCAAUGACUGGGGUGAAGUUGUAAUAAGGUA
This 1426-nucleotide ribosomal RNA is filed under the name metagenome. RNAcentral's name for it is "bacterial SSU rRNA". It matches the Rfam family "Bacterial small subunit ribosomal RNA". The record is from RNAcentral.